This 282-nucleotide unclassified non-coding RNA is filed under the name Cercozoa sp. Its description in RNAcentral is "partial contains small subunit ribosomal RNA, internal transcribed spacer 1, and 5.8S ribosomal RNA". The stretch from base 1 to 47 matches the Rfam family "Eukaryotic small subunit ribosomal RNA", at positions 1785 to 1831 of the family's 1831-position model. Lineage: Eukaryota; Cercozoa. The record is from RNAcentral.
AAAGUCGUAACAAGGUUUCCGUAGGUGAACCUGCGGAAGGAUCAUUAACACGAAACUCCACGUUUCAUACCAACCUGUGGUCUUGUAACUUUUAGUUUUUUGGAAACCUCAAGAAGUUUUGUCACAAAAGCUUUUUGAUUUUCAAAGAAUUUUUUAUAUAAAACCCCUUGUAUCAUCUAUUGACUGAACCAAGAGAAGUUUUGAGUACCCUUUAAUCGGGGCGCUCGCUUCUUGAUAUUACGAAACUCUGAACAACUCUAAGCAACGGAUAUCUUGGUUCUC